AUGCAUGUAAAGGCAAAGAUUGACAAAAUAGUUGCUCUCUCUGGAAUUGUCCGAGUCGAUAUCGCGUGUUAGCCUCUCGAAUCCAUUCCGGAUGGAUUCGUUUGGUUCUCCCAGAUCUCAUGCUUUUUCCAAUUCUUUUGAAUUGGGGGAUUUGAGAGAGCUGGCCAACUCUAGGGUUUUAGUCCACAAGGGCGGAGAGGGUUUAUAGGAGAAGCGAAGUGUUAAUCAGUGAGAGGUUUCAAGAAAAGCGGGGGAAGAAGAUGGUUGUCAGGAUUCGGUUGUCAAGAUUCGGGUGCCGGAACAAGCCCUUCUAUCGACUCAUGGCUGCCGAUAGCCGGUCCACCCAGAGAUGGGAAGCAUCUCGAAUUCCUGGGCUAUUACAAUCCUUUGCCAGGGACUGGUUAUCAGUUGGGGCACAGUCUGCGGAGCCCUUCCAACAUAUCCUUUUCUGACCGAGGCUUCUUCCUCCCCAAUCUGUGCUUGCAAUGUCCCACAAAGGUCGGCAUGAUGCCCGCCUCGUGGAUCCUCGGAGCAGUUGUUACCUGAGUCCCACAAGCUCUCCUGAUGAACAGGGCGCUGGAAAAAGCGAAGCAGGUGACAAGGAAAGCCUUCGAACGGCACCAAAACAGCUUCUGUUGUUUAAAGAAUGAGCAUAACAGAGAAGGAAGCUUGAAGGCUGUAUGUCCCUUCCUCGGUUUCCGAUAUAAAGCAGCCAUCUUAUGUUUAUGGCUCCCCUUGGAGUCUUCACACAUGCCUAAAUUAUUCUGAUCAGACAAUCAAUCUGAAUCCAGUUUGGAUCAUAUAAACUAUACCUUUCUUCAUAA
Non-coding RNA from Elaeis guineensis (African oil palm), 824 nucleotides. The record is from RefSeq and is a predicted model, not a curated record. Lineage: Eukaryota; Viridiplantae; Streptophyta; Magnoliopsida; Arecales; Arecaceae.